UUUUUUUUUUUUUUUUUUUUUUUUACAUAGUCAGUUUUGUUUUUUUUUUUGCUUAAGAAAAUUUUUCCUCAAAAUAGGUAAAUUUUUUGAAUGACGUCAUUGUUUGGUAUGUGACGUCACGAACGUCGAGUUUUCACAUUGUAUGUGACGUCACGAACGUCAAGUUUUCAUAUUUUUUGGCACACUAAAUGCAACUAUGAAAAAUACAAAACACACAUAUUAAUACAAUAAUAAACAAAAUAUUUUUAAAACAACAGC
This 258-nucleotide long non-coding RNA is filed under the name Mytilus galloprovincialis (Mediterranean mussel). Lineage: Eukaryota; Metazoa; Mollusca; Bivalvia; Mytilida; Mytilidae. The record is from RNAcentral.